RNAcentral lists this ribosomal RNA (464 nucleotides) under uncultured bacterium. Its description in RNAcentral is "partial 16S ribosomal RNA". It matches the Rfam family "Bacterial small subunit ribosomal RNA", at positions 28 to 506 of the family's 1533-position model. The record is from RNAcentral.
GACGAACGCUGGCGGCGUGCUUAACACAUGCAAGUCGAACGGAAAGGCCCCUUUGGGGGUACUCGAGUGGCGACCGGGUGAGUAACACGUGAGUAACCUGCCCUUGACUUCGGGAUAACUUCAGGAAACUGGGGCUAAUACCGGAUAGGAAUCCUUGCUGCAUGGUGGGGGUUGGAAAGCUUCGGCGGUUUUGGAUGGACUCGCGGCUUAUCAGCUUGUUGGUGGGGUAGGGGCUUACCAAGGCUUUGACGGGUAGCCGGCCUGAGAGGGCGACCGGCGACAUUGGGACUGAGGUACGGCCCAGACUCCUACGGGAGGCAGCAGUGGGGAAUAUUGCACAAUGGGCGGAAGCCUGAUGCAGCAACGCCGCGUGCGGGAUGACGGCCUUCGGGUUGUAAACCGCUUUCAGCAGGGGCGAAGCUUGUGGUGACGGUACCUGCAGAAGAAGCACCGGCUAACUACGU